Molecule: ribosomal RNA, 253 nt
Filed under: uncultured bacterium
Lineage: Bacteria
Description: partial 16S ribosomal RNA
Rfam family: Bacterial small subunit ribosomal RNA
Source: RNAcentral
UACAGAGGGUGCAAGCGUUGUUCGGAAUUAUUGGGCGUAAAGCGCGUGUAGGCGGCUUUGCAAGUCGGGUGUGAAAGCCCUCAGCUUAACUGAGGAAGUGCGCCCGAAACUGCUUGGCUUGAGUACCGGAGAGGAUGGUGGAAUUCCCGAAGUAGAGGUGAAAUUCGUAGAUAUCGGGAGGAACACCCGUGGCGAAGGCGGUUCUCUGGGACGGUACUGACGCUGAGACGCGAAAGCGUGGGGAGCGAACAGG